This 208-nucleotide long non-coding RNA is filed under the name Lathyrus oleraceus (garden pea). Its description in RNAcentral is "Pisum sativum (pea) long non-coding RNA (PSAT_LNC001472)". The record is from RNAcentral. Lineage: Eukaryota; Viridiplantae; Streptophyta; Magnoliopsida; Fabales; Fabaceae.
AAGAACAAGGAAAGAAGAGAGAAAGAGGAAAAAAGAAGAAGGGAUAAAGGAAGAAGAAGAGAGAAAGAGGAGGAAACCACCACCACCACCAUGUCAUCAUGUCAUCUUCAUCAUCACCAUCACCACUUUCUACUCACCGUCUUCACCAUCUCCAUGGGUCCAAGGUGAGUUCUUAGAUAAAUUUAGCCUUGGGGAGGGGAAGAAUUUC